GACGAACGCUGGCGGCGUGCCUAAUACAUGCAAGUCGAACGCAGUGGGGACGGGUGAGUAACACGUGGGUAACCUCCCAUCAGAGGGGAUAACACUUGGAAACAGGUGCUAAACCGAUACUGAUGGAUGGACCCGCGGUGCGUUAGCUAGUUGGUGAGGUAACGGCUCACCAGGGCCACGAUGCAUAGCCGACCUGAGAGGGGGAUCGGCCACACUGGGACUGAGACACGGCCCAGACUCCUACGGGAUGCAGUAGUAGGGAAUGUUGGAAAAUGGCGGAAACCCUCACCCAGCCAGCACGAGUGUAGAAUGAGGGCAUUCGGGUUGUAAAGUACUUUUGGCAGAGAAGCGGGAUCUGCAGAAUAAGCCACGGCUAACUACGUGCCAGCCGCCGCGGUAAUUC
This 403-nucleotide ribosomal RNA is filed under the name uncultured bacterium. Its description in RNAcentral is "partial 16S ribosomal RNA". It matches the Rfam family "Bacterial small subunit ribosomal RNA", at positions 28 to 526 of the family's 1533-position model. The record is from RNAcentral.